AUUGAACGCUGGCGGCAUGCCUUACACAUGCAAGUCGAACGGCAGCGGACCUUCGGGUGCCGGCGAGCGGCGAACGGGUGAGUAAUAUAUCGGAACGUACCUUUCAGUGGGGGAUAACGUAGCGAAAGUUACGCUAAUACCGCAUAUUCUGUGAGCAGGAAAGCAGGGGGAUCGCAAGACCUUGCGCUGAUUGAGCGGCCGAUAUCAGAUUAGCUAGUUGGUGAGGUAAAGGCUCACCAAGGCGACGAUCUGUAGCGGGUCUGAGAGGAUGAUCCGCCACACUGGAACUGAGACACGGUCCAGACUCCUACGGGAGGCAGCAGUGGGGAAUUUUGGACAAUGGGCGCAAGCCUGAUCCAGCCAUGCCGCGUGAGUGAAGAAGGCCU
RNAcentral lists this ribosomal RNA (386 nucleotides) under uncultured bacterium. RNAcentral describes it as "bacterial SSU rRNA". It matches the Rfam family "Bacterial small subunit ribosomal RNA", at positions 30 to 417 of the family's 1533-position model. The record is from RNAcentral.